Molecule: transfer RNA, 69 nt
Filed under: Diaphorina citri (Asian citrus psyllid)
Lineage: Eukaryota; Metazoa; Arthropoda; Insecta; Hemiptera; Psyllidae
Rfam family: tRNA
About the family: Transfer RNA (tRNA) molecules are approximately 80 nucleotides in length.
Source: Rfam by way of RNAcentral
GCCUCGGUGGUUUAGUGGUCAAGGCGCUCGCCUGGUAAACAGGGCGUGGGUUCAAUCCCAGCCGAGGUA